GACGAACGCUGGCGGCGUGCUUAACACAUGCAAGUCGAACGGAAAGGCCCUGCUUUUGUGGGGUGCUCGAGUGGCGAACGGGUGAGUAACACGUGAGUAACCUGCCCUUGACUUUGGGAUAACUUCAGGAAACUGGGGCUAAUACCGGAUAGGAGCGCCUGCUGCAUGGUGGGGGUUGGAAAGUUUCGGCGGUUGGGGAUGGACUCGCGGCUUAUCAGCUUGUUGGUGGGGUAGUGGCUUACCAAGGCUUUGACGGGUAGCCGGCCUGAGAGGGUGACCGGCCACAUUGGGACUGAGAUACGGCCCAGAGUCCUACGGGAGGCAGCAGUGGGGAAUAUUGCACAAUGGGCGGAAGCCUGAUGCAGCAACGCCGCGUGCGGGAUGACGGCCUUCGGGUUGUAAACCGCUUUCGCCUGUGACGAAGCGUGAGUGACGGUAAUGGGUAAAGAAGCACCGGCUAACUACGUG
This 468-nucleotide ribosomal RNA is filed under the name uncultured bacterium. Its description in RNAcentral is "partial 16S ribosomal RNA". It matches the Rfam family "Bacterial small subunit ribosomal RNA", at positions 28 to 507 of the family's 1533-position model. The record is from RNAcentral.